RNAcentral lists this unclassified non-coding RNA (3587 nucleotides) under Hevea brasiliensis (rubber tree). The record is from RNAcentral. Lineage: Eukaryota; Viridiplantae; Streptophyta; Magnoliopsida; Malpighiales; Euphorbiaceae.
UUUUUUUUUUUCAAUAUUACAAGGGUGUGUUUGUCCUGUUUUUUCCUCUCAGUGCUUGAUGAACAGAAGAUUACCAAGAAUUGAGGUCAACACCAGCAAUUAUGCUAAUUAAGGGGCAAUAGAAAGAAAAGAUGAAUUGACAUCAUUACUCGAAUCUGAAAAGUGAGACCACUGAUAAAUAGAACCUUCCUGAAAGCUAACCAAAAUAGAAUAUGACCAUUUGAAGAUAAAAAUUAGUCAAUACAAUUAAAAAAAGAAAAUCACAGAAAAGCUGAAAGCCAAUCAUCAUCAUUUAGCAGGAGUUUCAGGGGAUUUAUUUAUUCAUUUAUUUUGAUGAGAGAGUACAUGAAGUUUCUAGGGCCAAAACAAGUGGAAAAUGAUAUCAUCUUGUAGCAAAAGUUCCAAAAGCAAAGGCUAUAAGAGAUGAAAAUAGUUUCAUCAUACAGCACCAAACUUGACACCACUUUUUGAGCAGGAUUAUACUUGUUGGAAUAUAAAACAUAUUCUCUUUUAUCAAGUUGCAAUUAGCAAAGGAGAGAAGGGGUCCUUUUUGAUGAUGUAACUUGAGUAGUGGGUCAUGUAGUGGGUGCAGUUUGCUUAAAAGACAAUUGAGGUCCAUUAGGUAAAGAAGAAGACAGAAAAUUGAAUGAAAGAUGUGAAGCUUACAACAAUAAGGAUUGCAGCCACCACAUAAUAAUAAUAAUAAUAGAUUCCAACUUAGCAAACAAUGAAGAUCCAUGAGAGACACUAUGUUCUUUCAUCAAUGUGGUUGGCAAUCAAUAUUCUACUGAGGCAAAGGUUAUCAUAAUAUUGGUGGAAGGUAUGACAUACUGACAGGGAUUUGUCUUGGGGACCAAUCAAAUAAGCAUAACUUGUGGUCCAUAUAUUGAAAACUGGGAUUCAAGAGAAAGACAUUCCUAAAAAUGGGUCUAAUGUGUGAAAGUAAACUUUACAGUCAUCUCAUCCACAUUUUAAGAGGAAAGAUGUUAAUGGAGUCUUUUCUUGAACAUAAGAAAUAUCAUUCAAGUAUACUCUUCUUUCUCUGAACUCUCUUUAUUUCUGCCUCCGAUAUGUUUAGCUUCUGUCUCUUAAUGUUGCAAGACAGAGAAUCAGAAGAACAUUUUGCUAUUGGUUUUAGACUUAAUACAUAUGGUCCGAUUCCCCAAAUUUAAUUUUCUUUUCUCUUAUCUUAUGGGGAAUCACACGGAGCAUAAAGUGAAACUUGCAAGGAAAAAGAAGAGGAAGAGAUGAACUUACUGCUAUUAUGACACCUGCAAUAAUUUUCAUUCCCAUCACAUGACUCCAAGUGACCUACAACACCAUACCACCAACCUGCAAAUGCAUAUGGCAUAUUCAAUAAAAAUAUUCAAUUAUUCCAAAUUGUAUUAAAAAAAUUCUACAUCCACAUGUUUUUAUUUUUUUAUGUUUAUGUAGGCAUGUUUAAGGGCAAAUGAACUUAAAAAAAUACAAAAACUGGUCCUCUGCUGUCUCUGCAUCUUGCUGACAAGAAGAGUUUUCUAUGAAAAAUUUUCCAUAGAUUUUUUAGUUCAUCAAUAUAUAAAUCAUUUGUCUCCAUCUUUUCUUUUCCAGUCAAUGAUGCUAUGAUUAAGAUUGAAUUGGUCUUCUAUCAUAUAGAUUAUGUUGAAGUUGAACAAUUAUUUUUGUAUUGGUUCUACAAAAUCUUGGAAAAUAUGACAUGGAAAAUCAUUUCCUGGACAUUGUGUUCAUGUUUCAAAGUUUGUCUAAAGGUUUUCAACUAAUUGUGCAAAAUCUUUCCUGAAAACAUUAAAUUUAAGAAGGCAGAAAUGAAUCAAUUUUCAAGCAAACACCAGAUUUAAUAAUACUCUGCAGAUAAAACUAUAAAGAAAUUCUUCAGAUUGGACAGAGGUAGUAAGAACAAACCAUAAGGGAAUUCUUUGUUUCUUCUCCACUGAAUCUCAAUGUGAUCACCAGGACGUAAAUCAUUCAAGCAAUCAGAGAUGUGUAGAUCAUGUCGGGAAGUGUCAACAGGUGGUGCUCUAAGCCUUUCCCAUUGCACACCAGUUUCUAUAGCAACUGCUCUCCUACCAUGUGGUGGGUACCUGGCUCGAAAUGUGUCAGUCUGGGGAUCGUAGCUAAGUUCAGCAUCAUAGCAUGAUAACAUGAACCCAACAUGCCCAUUCUCACGGUUGUAGACCUGAGCUGGGAACCAGAACCUGCCAGUCUCAACAGCAAGGUACCAGGACAUGAUAGAAUUAACACGCGAAGAAUUGCUGUGCUUGAAAUUAUUAUUAUUGUUGUCAUUAUUAUCAUCCUUUGAUUUCAUCAAAGAAAUAGGCCAAACUGUAGAUAGAAGCUUCAUCAAGCCUUUUUGCUUGCCUUGUUCGCAACUUCCAAAAUCCUUGCUUGAAGCUAUUUGAAAUUGCCACUCCCUGUAAGCAGCACGACCAAUAAUCCUACCCCAUUUUUGCUUCAUGUGCCUCUCCCAUAAGUGAUCACUGCUGCACCUUUCCCUCAAAGAAGUACAAACACCAGCCAUAGUACAAAGCCCUGCAGGUGUUAGCCUCUCAAGAAUGCAGUCCAAAGCCAAUUCUGGCAAGUCCAAAACUGACAUCCCUCCAGUGUCAUCCACAGGAUUUUCUAGCUUUCCAUUUGAAGUCAGGUUCAUUUUCUUCAUGGAAAUUUUAGAAUGAAUUGUAGUGAGAUAAGAAGAUCUGAAAAGGGUAUUCCUCAGGGACUCAAAAUAAGAAAACAAAAACAACUCUUUCCAGAACCAAAGAGACAACAAUCUCACCUCACUUGCCCAUGAAGGUAAUGGCUUGAUAGGGAGAGACCUUAAAAAGAUGAAGGAGAAGCAAGUGAUCAAGAAGUAAAGUAACAUUUAGAAAAGGGGAAUUCUAUUUACUGGUCAAAUUCAAGUUUGGCAUAAAUGAUAAGGUGGAAGAAGGUCAAAUGGGGGAACCAUUUGUCUUCUCCUCCUCUUCUCCAACCUCAACAACACCCCACCUUAAAAAAAACAAGAAAAUUAACCAAAGUGGGGAUCUUCAAGAAAAAAUAAUGAAAAUAGCUUUCAAGAUAUGGGUUCCUAUUGGUUGUGAGAAAGCCCACCAAACACAACCAGUGGGCCUCCUCUUCAAAACUCUAAUUAAGAACCAAAUAAAGGCACUAAUCUACUGAAACUCUGCAAAGAACAAAUUCACUUUGGCAAGAUGUCACCUUAUAACACCAUUAACUCUCUGUCUCUCUCGUUCAGAGAAACAGACAACUAAAUAGCUGUCAAUCAAAGAGAGGAUUUUUACAAGAGAGAGAACAAAUUGGGGGUUGUAUUGGAUGGACCCUGUAAAUGAACAAGGGCCAAUGAAAUAUGGUGGGUAUUAGGAUCUGAUAUGGGUGAUAUGGCCCUCUGACACCUGGAAAUCCCAAGAAAAAGAAUGGGAGAUCGUCUAGAUACAGAUACCCAUAUCAACAAAAAUCUGAAUUUUUGGGUAAAACAAAUAAAAACACUGAAAAUUUUAUCAAAGCCAAGUGAAUACAGAUCUGAGUUUGUUGGGAAUGAAGCCACCCAACAAUCUCAGGAUCUGUAUAUUUCGAGAAAAAAAAAAAAAACU